This 467-nucleotide ribosomal RNA is filed under the name uncultured bacterium. RNAcentral describes it as "bacterial SSU rRNA". It matches the Rfam family "Bacterial small subunit ribosomal RNA", at positions 28 to 507 of the family's 1533-position model. The record is from RNAcentral.
GAUGAACGCUGGCGGCGUGCUUAACACAUGCAAGUCGAACGGACUUGAUUGGAGCUUGCUCCGAUCAAGUUAGUGGCGGACGGGUGAGUAACGCGUGGGUAACCUGCCUCACACUGGGGGACAACAGUUGGAAACGACUGCUAAUACCGCAUAAUGUUAUUUGGGGGCAUCCUUGAAUAACCAAAGCUUUAUGCGCUGAAAGAUGGUCUCGCGUCUGAUUAGCUAGUUGGUGAGGUAACGGCUCACCAAGGCGACGAUCAGUAGCCGGUCUGAGAGGAUGAACGGCCACAUUGGGACUGAGAUACGGCCCAGACUCCUACGGGAGGCAGCAGUGGGGAAUAUUGGGCAAUGGGGGAAACCCUGAUGCAGCGACGCCGCGUGAGUGAAGAAGUAUUCGGUAUGUAAAGCUCUAUCAGCAGGGAAGAAAAAUGACGGUACCUGACUAAGAAGCACCGGCUAAAUACGUG